This 765-nucleotide ribosomal RNA is filed under the name uncultured Streptococcus sp. Its description in RNAcentral is "bacterial SSU rRNA". It matches the Rfam family "Bacterial small subunit ribosomal RNA", at positions 28 to 776 of the family's 1533-position model. The record is from RNAcentral. Lineage: Bacteria; Bacillati; Bacillota; Bacilli; Lactobacillales; Streptococcaceae.
GACGAACGCUGGCGGCGUGCCUAAUACAUGCAAGUAGAACGCUGAAGAGAGGAGCUUGCUCUUCUUGGAUGAGUUGCGAACGGGUGAGUAACGCGUAGGUAACCUGCCUGGUAGCGGGGGAUAACUAUUGGAAACGAUAGCUAAUACCGCAUAAAAUGGAUUAUCGCAUGAUAAUGCAUUGAAAGGUGCAAAUGCAUCACUACCAGAUGGACCUGCGUUGUAUUAGCUAGUUGGUGGGGUAACGGCUCACCAAGGCGACGAUACAUAGCCGACCUGAGAGGGUGAUCGGCCACACUGGGACUGAGACACGGCCCAGACUCCUACGGGAGGCAGCAGUAGGGAAUCUUCGGCAAUGGACGGAAGUCUGACCGAGCAACGCCGCGUGAGUGAAGAAGGUUUUCGGAUCGUAAAGCUCUGUUGUAAGAGAAGAACGAGUGUGAGAGUGGAAAGUUCACACUGUGACGGUAUCUUACCAGAAAGGGACGGCUAACUACGUGCCAGCAGCCGCGGUAAUACGUAGGUCCCGAGCGUUGUCCGGAUUUAUUGGGCGUAAAGCGAGCGCAGGCGGUUAGAUAAGUCUGAAGUUAAAGGCUGUGGCUUAACCAUAGUACGCUUUGGAAACUGUUUAACUUGAGUGCAAGAGGGGAGAGUGGAAUUCCAUGUGUAGCGGUGAAAUGCGUAGAUAUAUGGAGGAACACCGGUGGCGAAAGCGGCUCUCUGGCUUGUAACUGACGCUGAGGCUCGAAAGCGUGGGGAGCAAACAGG